UAGGCGAAUGCUUGUUGGUUUAAGCCUUUAAUUGUUAAUUAAAAAUUUGCAGGAUCAAAGCCUGCUCGUCUAG
Molecule: transfer RNA, 73 nt
Filed under: Notholebias minimus
Lineage: Eukaryota; Metazoa; Chordata; Actinopteri; Cyprinodontiformes; Rivulidae
Description: Leptolebias minimus tRNA-Asn
Source: RNAcentral